AGGUGAACUACGUCAGGAUGGGUGUGUUCCACUUCUGCUGCUUGAGGUGGGUUUACCUCUUGUUCUUGUUUUGUUUUGUUUUGUUGCUGUUUUUUAAGCAAAUGGAUAAAAAUGUCAAGGCGGGAGGGGAGCGUGUGGAGAAGAGGGGUGUUUAGGGGCCUCAUAACGUUUUUCUCAUGAUUGGUGGGUUCUUGCAAGAAGAGGAAGGAAGGGACUUUCUAAUGUCCCAGAAAAGCUGCGAGAGGUGUAGGAUUCUAUGAAGACGCACUUUGGCGACGAGGGCCUUCCUCAGUGUUCCAAGCAGACAGGAAGUGUAAAUCAAUAACGAAGUAAACCAAGGACUCAUAAUAAAUCAAGGCAUGAUUAGUGGCCCUCGCCCCCGUCACGUGUUCCCUCCUGCUAGACCCGAAGCUCCCCAAAUGCAUUUUGGGAAGUGCCCUCAGCCGUCCUGCGCACCGCAGUAAAGACGAGGAAGAUCUUCUGCCUCGGCGGCGGCAGUUCGCCUCCCAGCACAAUGCAACCUAAAUCAUUUAUAAACAGAUCAAAAUAACAAUCUGAAUUAUCUAACAUUAACAGCUGAACUGAAGAGCCCAAGAUUACGUGAUGAAUUGUUAAAUUGCAGUAGCAUUGUUUUGGAUUGCUAAUUAAAAAAAAUAAGCAAACCCCAUGACUCUAGAUAUGACAACUGAAAAUACCCACAAAUUAUUUAAUAAAUGAAGCGUCUAACAACUUUAACACUUCCUGGUCGCCUUGUUAAUAAAUGUAAUUUGAGGUAGAUUUUAAAAAUCUUCAAUCUAAACAGUGAAUUCAUUACGCGCCAUUCAGAUCUCUGGAUGCCUAUGGACUUCUUGGAAUUAGGUGUUAAAUAGACAAAAGUGAACCAAACUGCCUUUAAAAGCACAGCAUGACCAUGUAAUUCUUUUUCCAGUUUGUGGUAAAAAAUGAUGAAACUUCUUUCCAAGUAGCUAUCACCCAGAUUUAGUGUGAAAAGUAGUGUAAUUGUAAUUCACGCCAUCAGGGUCUAUGGCUGAUAGACGAUCAGCUGUUCUGUAGUGGGGAGAGGCUUUCUUUUCAAAUAGGAAAGCUGCCAAGUGCUCUGCGAUACCUCCAGCAAGCUUAUCGGAUUGAGUUCAGAGCCAAAACAGCAGCUGCACACAUAUGCAAAUUGGCAAUUAAUAGUAUAACAUUCUGUAAAAAAAAAAAAAAAAAUGUUUAAAAAAAUUUUAAAGAAAAUAGAAAGAAGCUACCUGAACAUUAACCUCCACUGUAACUGGGACUUCUAGGAUGAAUGACUAAGGAUUAAUUACCCUCUGGAGAGGACUUGCUCUUUAUUACCUUCUCUCCUGCAGAUCAAGUCUUUGUUGUCUUGCUGAGUUUUGUCUGUUUCAUGGAACACAGCAAUGGACUCUACAGGAAGAAGUUUAAAAAUAACUAAAAAGCCCUUAUAGUUUGAUUCCAGAAAAGGGGGAAAAUUAAGUCCUCUCCAUUGAUCAUUCUUUCUUAUACACAGAGAUCACAAAGCAAGAGCUCUAGCAUGCUCGGGGCAAAAACAUUUUGUUCUGGAUGUCAUCAUCUCCUUCCACUACAGCUUGCAGUAGGAACAAGCUUCACAUCCUGGGGGUGCUGCCUGUCUCUGUCUUGAUUUCUGUCUGUCUCUUCCUCCCAUUGACAGGAAUGCCGUUUGUAGGCUUCAAGCAGCAAUAGCAGAAAUCUAGCAAGAUUUAUGAUUUACAUUGCCCAGCGUGUAUAAACACAACGCGCUCAAAUGAUGAAAGAAAAAAAAUCAUAUGAAUUUGUUAAAUGUCUUGACAUCCUGGCCCCACCCCAGUUCUCACACACACGAGUACACUGUUUUCUCUGAUAAGGUCAUGUAAUAGCUAUGGCUGGACUUAGGUGGACAACCUGAGCCCCUAAGAAGGGCCUGGCAUUUUCACAGCAGGCCUUCCACCAAUGCUUGGAGUCUUCCUCUCCCUCU
This 1975-nucleotide long non-coding RNA is filed under the name Lynx pardinus (Iberian lynx). The record is from RNAcentral. Lineage: Eukaryota; Metazoa; Chordata; Mammalia; Carnivora; Felidae.